CAUUAAGAAGCUAAAUUAGCAUUAACCUUUUAAGUUAAAGAUCGAAAGCCCAAACUUUCCUUAAUGG
This 67-nucleotide transfer RNA is filed under the name Mesoplodon bidens (Sowerby's beaked whale). Its description in RNAcentral is "tRNA-Lys". It matches the Rfam family "tRNA". Rfam says of the family: Transfer RNA (tRNA) molecules are approximately 80 nucleotides in length. Their secondary structure includes four short double-helical elements and three loops (D, anti-codon, and T loops). Lineage: Eukaryota; Metazoa; Chordata; Mammalia; Artiodactyla; Ziphiidae. The record is from RNAcentral.